UUCUGUGAGGCUCAUCAUCACCAUAAAUGUUCCAGGUGUCACGACACGGCUCGACUCCUGAUUAAUGACAGAUUUGUUAUGUUUUUAUUUAUUUUAUAUAUCAGAGCUCAGCAGCUGCUAAUGGACCAGAGAUGUUAGUUCAUUUCCCUUAUAUUCAGUUUUGACUUUCAGAUUGUUUUCUGUGUCUGUUGCUCUGUUGGUUUGGACUGAUGGAAGAGAAAUGUGGGUGUGAUGCUGACCCCCUCCAGCCUUUCAACCUGUGAGGUCCUGCAGGACCUAAAGGACCUUCAUGCUGAGUUUCUCCAGAAUCAACGUGUUAUUUAAAGUUUUGUUUCAUGUCUCAGAGUGAUGAGUAUAAUAAUCAGCUCUUUCCGUCCUCCUGCAGAAGUUGUCCCUCGGGACAGAUGCAGUAUCGCAGCUGAAGACUCCAGGAGCACUGAUG
Long non-coding RNA from Centropristis striata (black sea bass), 442 nucleotides. RefSeq lists it as uncharacterized. The transcript is spliced from 3 exons. The record is from RefSeq and is a predicted model, not a curated record. NCBI's taxonomy places the organism in Eukaryota, Metazoa, Chordata, Actinopteri, Perciformes, Serranidae.